RNAcentral lists this ribosomal RNA (549 nucleotides) under uncultured Glomeromycotina. RNAcentral describes it as "SSU rRNA". It matches the Rfam family "Eukaryotic small subunit ribosomal RNA", at positions 548 to 1098 of the family's 1831-position model. The record is from RNAcentral. Lineage: Eukaryota; Fungi; Glomeromycota.
UUGGAGGGCAAGUCUGGUGCCAGCAGCCGCGGUAAUUCCAGCUCCAAUAGCGUAUAUUAAAGUUGUUGCAGUUAAAAAGCUCGUAGUUGAAUUUCGGGGUCAGUAGGUUGGUCAUGCCACUGGUAUGUACUGGUCUCACUGAUUCCUCCUUCCUGAUGAGCCGUAAUGCCAUUAAUUUGGUGUUGCGAGGAAUCUGGACCGUUACUUUGAAAAAAUUAGAGUGUUUAAAGCAAGCUAACGCUUGAAUACAUUAGCAUGGAAUAAUGAAAUAGGACGUUCGAUCCUAUUUUGUUGGUCUCUAGGAUUGACGUAAUGAUUAAUAGGGAUAGUUGGGGGCAUUAGUAUUCAAUUGUCAGAGGUGAAAUUCUUGGAUUUAUUGAAGACUAACUACUGCGAAAGCAUUUGCCAAGGAUGUUUUCAUUAAUCAAGAACGAAAGUUAGGGGAUCGAAGACGAUCAGAUACCGUCGUAGUCUUAACCAUAAACUAUGCCGACUAGGGAUCGGAUGAUGUUAAUUUUUUAAUGACUCAUUCGGCGCCUUACGGGAAAC